GGUGAGUAAUGCAUCGUAACGUGCCCAGGAGUGGGGGAUAACGUAACGAAAGUUACGCUAAUACCGCAUACGUACUGAGGUACAAAGCGGGGGAUCGAAAGACCUCGCGCUCAUGGAGCGGCCGAUGUCCGAUUAGCUAUUUGGCGGGGUAAAGGCCCACCAAGGCGACGAUCCGUAUCUGGUCUGAGAGGACGACCAGCCACACUGGGACUGAAACACACCCAGACUCCUACGGGAGGCGCAGUGGGGAAUCUUGGACAAUGGGGGAAACCCUGAUCCAGCAAUGCCGCGUGUGGGAUGAAGGCCCUCGGGUUGUAAACCACUUUUGGCUUGAAAGAAAUCGCUUGUGCUAAUACCAUGGGCGGAUGACGGUACCUGCACAAUAAGCACCGGCUAACUACAUGCCAGCACCCGCGGUAAUACGUAUGGUGCGAGCGUUAAUCUGAAUUACUGGGCGUAAAGCGUGCGUACGCGGUUUUGUAAUACAGAUGUGAAAUCCCCGGGCUCAACCUGGGAACUGCAUUUGUGACUGCUAGACUAGAGUGUGUCUCAGGGAGGUGGAAUUCCACGUGUAGCAGUGACAUGCAUAUAGAUGCAGAAGAACACCAAUGGCGAAGGCAGCCUCCUGGGAUAACACUGACACUCACGCACGAAAGCGUGAGGAGCAAACACGAUUAGAUACCCUGGUAGUCCACGCCCUAAACGAUGUCAACUACUUGUUGGGGAUUCAUUUCCUUAGUAACGUAGCUAACGCGUGAAGUUGACCGCCUGGGGAGUACGGCCGCAAGGUUAAAACUCAAAGGAAUUGACGGGGACCCGCACAAGCGGUGGAUGAUGUGGAUUAAUUGGAUGCAACGCGACAAACCUUACUUACCCUUGACAUGUCGAGAACUUUUCAGAGAUGAAUUCGUGCCCGAAAGGGAACUCGAACACAGGUGGUGCAUGGUCGUCGUCAGCUCGUGUCGUGAGAUGUUGGUUUAAGUCCCGCAACGAGCGCAACCCUUUUCCUUAGUUGGUACGCAAGAGCACUCUAAGGAUACUGCCGGUGACAAACCGGAGGAAGGUGGGGAUGACGUCAAGUCCUCAUGGCCCUUAUGGGUAGGGCUUCACACGUCAUACAAUGGUCGGUACAGAGGGUCGCCAACCCGCGAGGGGGAGCCAAUCCCACAAAACCGAUCGUAGUCCGGAUUGCAGUCUGCAACUCGACUGCAUGAAGUCGGAAUCGCUAGUAAUCGCGGAUCAGCAUGUCGCGGUGAAUACGUUCCCGGGUCUUGUACACACCGCCCGUCACACCAUGGGAGUGGGUUUUACCAGAAG
This 1317-nucleotide ribosomal RNA is filed under the name uncultured bacterium. RNAcentral's name for it is "bacterial SSU rRNA". It matches the Rfam family "Bacterial small subunit ribosomal RNA", at positions 105 to 1426 of the family's 1533-position model. The record is from RNAcentral.